GUGGCCAUGAUACGUCACAAUACGAGGCCGAGGGAGGAAUUCUGUCGUCUGGGAACGGCUGGUUUCGCGGUCAGACGCCGAGGGCCCUCGAAGUCCCUAGCAACGGCUGCGGAGGGAGAUUCCACCUAGGUCCGUGCAGGUUACAAAUGGCAACCAGAACAGGGACUCCAAGCACGCCCAACUAGCAGCAUCCAAACAUGGGACUUCAAGGACGUGAAUGAAGAAGGUCUGCUGGAGCAGAGGAACUGAAAUUGACAAGGCGAAAGGGGACCCUGGGAAGAGUCUGCCGGCAGCAGAUAUAAGUCUGUAAAAUCGGAUGGACCACCAAUUGGAGAAUGAGAGCCUCCCAGCCCAGCCUUACAUUCUUUCAAUUAAUACAUAAACAGAAAGGGGGAUAUGCAGGGAGCCAAAGGCCUGUGGGACGUGACCAACUCAGCAUUCUGCUGGAGGCUAUAUGAUCAAACAGCAAACUGUUUAUCAUGAAUACAGGAUGUGAGCAAACUCAGGACUGCUCCUGCCAACAUAAGGUUUGCUGGAGGCAAUCACUCCCUGGCACCGAGGUUAUCUACUGCGACAUCUAGAGAAUGCAGUCUUGCAAGCCUACUCUGAACUGAGCAGCCGACCCCUUCUUCCACCCCCCCACCCUCCUAUCUCUUUUGCCUAAUAAAUACGGAGGGCUGUGUAAAGCUCAGGGCCCUUGUCCACUAGAGGUAAGGUGCUCCCUGACCCCUUCUCCCAAAUAUA
Homo sapiens (human) is the source of this 744-nucleotide long non-coding RNA. Ensembl annotates it as ZNF350 antisense RNA 1. Its record names the gene ZNF350-AS1. Lineage: Eukaryota; Metazoa; Chordata; Mammalia; Primates; Hominidae. The record is from Ensembl.